Long non-coding RNA from Oncorhynchus tshawytscha (Chinook salmon), 1067 nucleotides. RefSeq lists it as uncharacterized. Lineage: Eukaryota; Metazoa; Chordata; Actinopteri; Salmoniformes; Salmonidae. The record is from RefSeq and is a predicted model, not a curated record. The transcript is spliced from 2 exons.
GAAGCCUUGCACUUGUGAGUUUAUAAUGAGGACUGAUAAACCCAGAGAAUUGAACGCUUAAGCAAAAAAUGAUGGUAUGACACUGAAAUGCCAUACUGAAGUUCAACACAGCCUUUAGGUUGAUGCUGUCAGUUGUCAUUUCUCAUCAGGACAUAAAUGUGUGUUCAAGUGUCAAUGAUCGCUGUUAUACCUCCAAGGCUAUUGGUUCCAAAACUGGCCAAACUGAGAAAGACUUCAAGACCACCCAAUCAAUUCUGCAGGCUUGUUCAACUCUUUGUCAGAGCUCCCUGUCAGUUUGCUCCGCCAUCUUGGCUUUCAACAGAUGCAUUGCACCAGGUGUCUCCGCCAUGUUGGUUCUACGGGGGUACGUGAGACCAAUGUUCUUCACCAUCAGGACUCUCACUGGAUACUUUGAAGAGGCACUUGCCUUCAGUUGGGACUUGAUUCAUUGCUUCAAGGAAGUGCUCUUCUCUCAGCAGUUCCUCCUAAAGAAAACACUCCUGUUUCUGUCCCAGUUGGCUCUUUGCAUCUUUAACUGACCACUUUGUCUUGAAUUAAUAUCGUUUUAAUGACUUUUCCUCCAGUAAAGUAACUUGAGUAAUGCUUUUCUUAUAACAUCCUGAAGGAACUGUGCAUCCUAGGACAAUUGCUUCAACUUCCCUUCAAGUGUUUAUUGUAUUUUCAACUGGCAUUAACUAUUAAAAUGUUUCCUUAAUUUUUAGUUGAAUCAUUGUCCAACUGCAUAUUUGGAAAUCUUGGCAAGUUACAGUAUCUGCCAUAAUGGCAAUUUUAUGGAUGAGAUAGGGACAUUGAUCCAUAAGCAUAAUUGAGCACUUAAUCCUACUGUACACUGUCAAAGCCCACUUUAAAAAGACAGUGAAAGUAAAGUACUAGACACUAUUGUAACCGUCAUAAUAAAUAGUGCCCCACAAGUUUCCAACAGAUGUUUCAGGGGCUGAGUGUUAGUGCAGUGGCCUUGUCCAUACUUCGAGUCUGAGCCUGUCAAAGGCCUGCAUUUUUCUGAGUUACUAAAGCACCUCCAGUGUAAAACAUGGUCUUUGCUAGGA